CACUUGCGAAGUCAAACACGGCGCUGACUUUACUGGAGAGCCACGCAGGAGGCGAGAAUGGUCAAGGCAGGGAAGCUAUUCCGUGGAGAAACGGAUUCCUCUAUUUGUGUUUGUACUCGUAGCCAGAACUUCUCUCCGCCUGCACCGCCGGGGGGACAGAGAGCCGUGAAACAUGGGCAAAGAGGGUUAAAACCCUAGUAACAAAGCGAGCUCCGAGAGAGAGAGAGAGCUGUGGAGAGAGACACACCACAUGGCGCGGCACAUGCCGACGGAGGCCCACUCCCGCGCGAUCUUCUUCUUCUUCCUCCAUCAUGGAAAUGCUGGAGAGCGUGAGCCAUCAUUCUCCCCCCCGUCUUCUACGACGAUCUUACGACUGCCGGAGGCUGAGCAUGGAAGUCUUACGCUGCACUGUUCCCUCCACUCCCGAUUCCACACGUUUCUCCGAGUUGGAAGAGAGAGGACGUCUGCCCAGCCAGGAAAGGGAGAGAGAUGAUCGUCGGGAGACCCAGCCUUCUCUUAUUCUUGCAGACGGGUCGACGACCGAUAGCCCCAUCCUGCCUCUCGGCGCCGGGAAUUCAGUGCAUUGUGGUUGACUCUGACAUUAUCGGGGAUCUCAGCUUUCGAUCGAUUGCCCAUUUGCGGGCUUGUUUCGUAUGCUUUGAUAUCCUCAGAUCAAUGAGAGACGGUUGAGAUGACAC
RNAcentral lists this long non-coding RNA (698 nucleotides) under Spirodela polyrhiza (greater duckweed). RNAcentral's name for it is "long non-coding RNA (SPOL_LNC001734)". Lineage: Eukaryota; Viridiplantae; Streptophyta; Magnoliopsida; Alismatales; Araceae. The record is from RNAcentral.